This 508-nucleotide ribosomal RNA is filed under the name uncultured bacterium. RNAcentral describes it as "partial 16S ribosomal RNA". It matches the Rfam family "Bacterial small subunit ribosomal RNA", at positions 28 to 507 of the family's 1533-position model. The record is from RNAcentral.
GACGAACGCUGGCGGCGUGCUUAACACAUGCAAGUCGAACGGGCCUUGUCCCCUUUUUUUUUGGGGGUGGGGUUAGUGGCGAACGGGUGAGUAACACGUGAGUAACCUGCCCCUCACUUCUGGAUAACCGCUUGAAAGGGUGGCUAAUACGGGGUGUUCUGGCCUGCUCGCAUGGGUGGGUUUGGAAAGAUUCGACCGGUUUUGGUUGUUUUGGUGGGGGAUGGGCUCGCGGCCUAUCAGCUUGUUGGUGGGGUGAUGGCCUGCCAAGGCUUUGACGGGUAGCCGGCCUGAGAGGGUGGGCGGUCACACUGGGACUGAGACACGGCCCAGACUCCUACGGGAGGCAGCAGUGGGGAAUAUUGCACAGUGGGCGCAAGCCUGAUGCAGCGACGCCGCGUGAGGGAUGGAGGCCUUCGGGUUGUGAACCUCUUUCGCCAGUGAAGAAGGUCCUGCUCUUUGUGGUGGGGUUGACGGUAGCUGGGUUAAUGAAGCGCCGGCUAACUACGUG